CCCCUGAUGGUCUAGUUGGAUAUGGCGCUCGGCUGUAACCCGAGAGGUCCCCGGAUAUCCCGGGUCGGGAGA
RNAcentral lists this transfer RNA (72 nucleotides) under Aspergillus sojae NBRC 4239. RNAcentral describes it as "tRNA-Tyr (GTA) (tRNA-Tyr-GTA-8-1)". It matches the Rfam family "tRNA". From Rfam's summary of the family: Transfer RNA (tRNA) molecules are approximately 80 nucleotides in length. Their secondary structure includes four short double-helical elements and three loops (D, anti-codon, and T loops). Lineage: Eukaryota; Fungi; Ascomycota; Eurotiomycetes; Eurotiales; Aspergillaceae. The record is from RNAcentral.